RNAcentral lists this transfer RNA (71 nucleotides) under Loxodonta africana (African savanna elephant). It matches the Rfam family "tRNA". Rfam says of the family: Transfer RNA (tRNA) molecules are approximately 80 nucleotides in length. Their secondary structure includes four short double-helical elements and three loops (D, anti-codon, and T loops). The record is from Rfam by way of RNAcentral. Lineage: Eukaryota; Metazoa; Chordata; Mammalia; Proboscidea; Elephantidae.
GCAGAGGUGGUUCAGUGGUAGAAUUCUCACCUUCCACGCAGAAGGCCCGGGUUUGAUUCCCAGCUACUGCA